Humulus lupulus (European hop) is the source of this 194-nucleotide small nuclear RNA. RefSeq annotates it as U2 spliceosomal RNA. NCBI's taxonomy places the organism in Eukaryota, Viridiplantae, Streptophyta, Magnoliopsida, Rosales, Cannabaceae. The transcript has a single exon. The record is from RefSeq and is a predicted model, not a curated record.
AUACCUUUCUCGGCCUUUUGGCUAAGAUCAAGUGUAGUAUCUGUUCUUAUCAGUUUAAUAUCUGAUAUGUGGGCCAAUGGUCCACACGAUAUUAAAUUUAUUUUUUCAGGGGAAAAGCCUCUCUAAUAGCUUGCUAUCUUGGCUUUUGAGUGUGGCUUAUGUUUUGCACUAUUGCAUAAGCCUGCGCACCCCAU